GAUGAACGCUGGCGGCGUGCCUAAUACAUGCAAGUCGAGCGAACAGACGAGGAGCUUGCUCCUCUGACGUUAGCGGCGGACGGGUGAGUAACACGUGGAUAACCUACCUAUAAGACUGGGAUAACUUCGGGAAACCGGAGCUAAUACCGGAUAAUAUAUUGAACCGCAUGGUUCAAUAGUGAAAGACGGUUUUGCUGUCACUUAUAGAUGGAUCCGCGCCGCAUUAGCUAGUUGGUAAGGUAACGGCUUACCAAGGCAACGAUGCGUAGCCGACCUGAGAGGGUGGUCGGCCACACUGGAACUGAGACACGGGCCAGACUCCUAAGGGAGGGAGCAGUAGGGAAUCUUCCGCAAUGGGCGAAAGCCUGACGGAGCAACGCCGCGUGAGUGAUGAAGGUCUUCGGAUCGGAAAACUCUGUUAUUAGGGAAGAACAAAUGUGUAAGUAACUAUGCACGUCUUGACGGUACCUAAUCAGAAAGCCACGGCUAACUACGUG
Molecule: ribosomal RNA, 497 nt
Filed under: uncultured bacterium
Lineage: Bacteria
Description: partial 16S ribosomal RNA
Rfam family: Bacterial small subunit ribosomal RNA
Source: RNAcentral